GGAGAGAAAUUCUUCUACAGUAACUCAAUUUCAUCCAUAAAAGUCUUCACCCUUCAACGCCUACUCAUCCCAAAAUCAGUUCUUCACUCUAGGCUUCUUUUUAAUCCAUUUUCCCAACCUUGAGCUUCUUCUCAAUUAGUAUUCGACAGCAAAUCUUGCAACUGAACAAUAGCAUAACACCAAGGUCAGCCUUUUAUUCAACCCAUCAUCGCUUGUUAAAGAAAAAAACUUUCAUUUAUACUAAUUUGCACAUACGUGAGUAUCAUAGAAAAUGAUGAAGCAACGCCGGGGAGAUUAAAAGUGUAUACCCGACGCUUUAAGAAGACAACAGCGUAGCAAGACGUAGGACGCAUGAGUUUUUAUUCAGUUUUUAUUUUACUUUUGGGUUGUAUGGGCUUUAUGUCUUAUGCAUGGGCCUUAGUAGGAAUUAAGUAUUUAUUUGCCCUCUUCUCAGUAAAUUUGGGUAUUCAGAUAAUAUUUUUGUUAGCGUUUUUACGCUGUGACAGAGUGAUUUUACUCUGCGGCCUCUUUGAGGAUUUUCAUUCAAUAUCAGUUCUUUUUCUCCCAUUAUUCCGUCUUCACUCUAUUAAUUUGGUGCGGUGAACGUGGAACUUAUGGCGACGAAUAAGGAACGAAUUGAAUAUGUAGAGAAGACGGUAGAGGAAGUGCAGGCGACAGUUGGCGGAUUGGAGAUUUCGAUGGCGACCAUGCAGAAAACCCUAGCCGCUAUUUUGUCUAAACUACCAGACCAGGAACAGGACGUAAGUUCAAGCGACUCAGGUAGUAAUGGGGAAUCUGGUAAGCAGCAUGGGAUGGACGUAGGAACUCCAGACACAUCAUUACCACGGAUGGAUAUACCGUUGUUUGAUGGGACAGACAGGCGUGGAACAAUACUUUCUAGUGCAGCGCGUUCCAACUGAGCAGAAAGUGCGAUUGGCGCUUAUCGCCAUGUUAGGACGCUCGAUGUUUUGAGCGCAGUGGGUGCUGUGCCGCUCCGCAACUAUACUAUAGAAUCAGUUUACGCAGGAAUUAAUAGAGCGUUUUGGCGACAGCUCGGCUAUCAAAGCCUACGAGGCCAUGCACGUAACCUGUCAGAUAGGGUCAUUGGAAGACUACUUAGCCUUAUUUAAGGACCACCUCUGCCACGUGAGCAACAGUUGGGCAUGUUCCUCGGCGGCUUGAAUCAAUCCAUCAGAGAUCGCAUCCCAAGUUUGGAGAUGACCGACGUGUUUGCUGCCAUUAGAUCGGCGCGCAGGAUUGCACGGCCUCAAAGGACUGCCACCACACCAACAAAGUCUGGGUUCACUACUGGUACAUUCACGCGAUCAGUUUCGUCCUACCACAGCCCAUUAACGACUUUGAGUCAGUCACAACAAUCCGGAAACAGACCCCAAUUCUCUUCAUCAGCCUCAUCUGGUCCAUGAGGAAGCCGCAACUCGCGACUUAGCCUGGAACAACAUAAGGAAUAUAUAGCUAAAGGAAAGUGCUUUAAAUAUGGAGAACGCUACAGCCCCAAGCACAAGUGUGUGGCCAAAUCACUCAUGGUGAUUUUGGAAGCGGAAGAGUAUGACAUGGAGGAGACUGGAGUGGAUAUGGAGCAGUAGGAAAAUGCGGAACACGAGGGUCAGGGUAUUCGAGCAGAAUUGAAACAACUACAACUUUCCAAAUUAUCGUCCAACAGGUUUGAUGGAGCCCAAACUUUGAAGCUGUUUUGUAUUAUCCCACCAUUUUCUCUAGUAUUCUUUAUUAUAAGGGUUGCAUCAUUAAGUUAGAUAAGAAAGUCAAGAUAGUUAGUGAUUUAUUUUAGAAUUAGAGUUUUAUUUUAUAGAAAUAGAAUUUUGAAUCCAAAUUAUUUAUUCAUUAUAUUUUAAAUUUCAACUAUUGUAAAGUAUUUAAAUUUUAAAUGGUAAAGUCAUUGAAAAUUUUAUUA
This is a long non-coding RNA of Salvia miltiorrhiza (redroot sage), 1930 nucleotides long. RefSeq lists it as uncharacterized. The transcript has 2 exons. The record is from RefSeq and is a predicted model, not a curated record. NCBI's taxonomy places the organism in Eukaryota, Viridiplantae, Streptophyta, Magnoliopsida, Lamiales, Lamiaceae.